GGAGCAGAAACUGGCAGCAAACACUGGAAACUCGAGGGGUUUUCUUAAAAGUAUAUGGCAAUAUGCGAUGCUUCUGCAGUCACAAGGGCAAAAAGACUGUGUUAGGCUCCAAAACUAAUGCAGGUUUUGCUUAUAAGGGGGUUUCCUCAGGGGAUAAUGGUGACUCUCCUUAGGGUUUUUGUAUCAGGUCUGGGUAGCUUUAGUCUGACCAAAAAUCAACAGGUGAGUGUGAGAUGCAAGGAAGCGAACUGCGUGUGCAUUGGAGUAAGAGCUAGAUCCUCUAGAGAAAAUGGCAUCAGCCUUUAGAAUAUGUAACUCCAACCUUUGUGCCAGGGGGUGUCGGGCAGGAGCUGCUCACCUUUGUGGUCUCAUAACCUCUGCCUUUAAAGAGCAUUAUGGUAACUCCUGAGACAUGGAAUAAAACAUGGAAAGAGCAGUCAAGGCAUACUGGAGCUAUAAAAUGACACCUCUCAUCACUUCAGCCUGUGAAACACAGGAUUCUCAAUGCCAUUCUAUGGAAGUCAGUAGAAUUUUUCUCUUGGAGUAGUAGUGGUGUUGGAAGAACACCUCAGGGCGAGAGCAAAUGGUUCAUUACUUACGCAGCUUCCUUUUCAGAAGUCACCGAUGUACAUACAGAGUCUAUUAACGUGGUUUACCAAGCUUUUCAGUUGUCUGUUUUGCUCUCGCGGCCACAGGCUCUAAUGCUCAAUCUACAAAUGGUGGUAAAUCCGUGAGUUUGAGGGGAUGUGUUUAAGUCCUCCGUGCCGUACGUCAGGAUUGCGUAAUCUGUUGGCUGUCCCCUUUUUAUGUAAUGUAUGUUUGGAGUUGGGUUUAAAACACACAAAUGUUUUUUUUCCCACUGCGUGCUUCUCUCAGAUAGUUCGUGUUUGUCUCUCCGUUGCCCUCUGGAGUUAAAACCCUGCAAGACACCGGUUUGAUGGCUGGAGCCCGCUGGCUGGUGCGUAUUUCUCUCUUAACAACAGUCUCUGCCACACCUCAGGACGUGCUCUUCUCCAGGUGAGUUGUGUGGAGUGUUGGGCUGCUGCUGGAGUUUCUGCUUCCUCCUGGUGUGGAGGUGAGAGCACCCUGGACCAGUGAAUUCCAUCAACAUCCAAAAUGAACUUCUGAAAAACUUAAUAAUACAUUAACUUCUUCUGUAACACAUUAACUUCUAUUGUGUAAAACUGUUGGUUUUGAAACUCAUUUCAGAACUUGAGCUGUUUGAUUCUCUUAACCAAAGUGUGUGUGUGUGUAGAAAUAUUUCCAUGAUCUUUUUCGGCAGUGCCUGUUUUUAGGGAAGAAAAAGGGAAGGAGGUAAAAAUAUAGGUUGAUGUAAGGUUGUAAUGUGAUCAGUUUGUGGUGGAAUUGUUUAUUUCACAACCUUAUAUUUGUACCCUAUAACCUAAAAAUGCCACUGAGCCUUUAGGCCCCUCAUGUGCUUACUCCAGCUGCAGCCCCUGGUGAACACGGCUGGGUGCUGCUCCCCUCAGAGCCCUCGUGCUGGUGCUGUUAGUGAUCCCCCUCCUCAGCUGUUGCAGGCAGUAUAGCUCCAUUAACUCAUCUGGCUCUCUGCCAUUGCACCCAGUGACUGGUUGGUGACAUUCAAUACUCAAGCAGCAUAAAACAAAUGCUGCUGUCUUAACUCCAGUGGAUUUAAGGGGGAAGAGAGGAGUCCCCAUGUUCUCUGUGGUGAUACCUGUAGAGCAGUUAGUUACCCUAUUUCCAUUAAAUCCAGCAUUAGUGGAUGUAGCCAGCAGAAGCUGCUACUUAAAACCACUUUGAGCUGCAUUGCAGAAGCCACUGCAGUGAUUAAGAUAACAGAUUAGCCAGAUAAUUAAUGCUGGACUGAAACCCCUGAUGCAAAGCCACUUCUGUUAAAUGCUCUUGAGCUUUUCACCUGGCAGAUGGACACUGGCUGGGGUGAUGCUGUGUUUCUGAGACGUGUGAAGGAUGAGGAGGUGGAGGAUGUGCCUGCUGGGCUCGGCAGUGCUGUGGAGGGGCCGCAAUGACUGACAGGCUGCCCUGGCUCAGUUAUCACAGUGCUGAUGCUGUCUCUUGUAAAGGUACAGUACUGUGAUAACUGAAGGAUGGCAGCCAUCUGAGCUUCUCGGAGCCCCAUGGAUGCACGUACGGCGCAGCAGCGUCCUCCUGAAGCAGAGUGUGCUCAUUUUAAAUGUACCCCUUUGCAUAAAAGUAAAAGGUUAAUGUUGUCUUUGAAUAAAAUAUUGGACUUCAUUGAGAGUUUGCCUGGUAACUGACUGCUUUGCCUUGGAAGAAGCCUUCCAAAAGUGGUGUGCUUUGGAGAUCUUCAAAAAUGGUUCAGAAAGCAGGGCCCUGUGCAGCACAGUGGAGUAUUGAAGAGCGGAGGGGUGGGUCAGUGGGUGAAUCUUGGUACCAGAGCAAAUGGAAACAACUGUAGCACUACAGAAAAUAAAGCCUUUUUAAGAUACUCUUUAAUGCAUCUUGUUAAAAAUACCAUGAGCUUGGCUAGCUUGUUUCCAUGUGUCUCAAUACAUGGCAAUCCCAAGCACAGCUACAGGCUGGGUGGAGGGUGGAUGGAGCUGCCCUGAGGAGAAGGACUUGGGUGUGUUGGUCAAUGAGAAGCUCCCCAUGAGCCAGCUUCAGUGUGUGCUUGAGCCCAGAACUGCCCCGUGUGCUGGGCUGCACCCCCAGAGCGUGAGCAGCAGCUCAGGGAGGGGAUCCUGCCCCUCUGCUGUGCUCUAGGGAGACCUUAGAGCAGCUCCAGUGCCUGAAGUGGCCGCAGGAAACCUGGAGAGGGGCUUUGGACAAGGGCCUGUAGGGCCAGGCCAAGGGGAAUGGCUUUAAGCUGCCAGAGGGGAGACUGAGAUGAGCUCUUAGGCAGAAGCUCUCCCCUGUGAGGGUGCUGAGGCACUGGCACAGGGUGCCCAGAGAAGCUGUGGCUGCCCCAUCCCUGGCAGUGUUCAAGGCCAGGUUGGACACAGGGGCUUGGAGCAAGCUGCUCUAGUGGAAGGGGUCCCUGCCCGUGGCAGGGGUUGGAGCUGGAUGAGCUUUAAGGUCCCUUCCAACACAAACCAUUUUUAAGAAUUUCUAUGAAAUAGAUGGUCGGGAACGGGCUAUUUCAGUCCGGUGAGGACGGUGCAGGGGGAGAUAGCAAUGCAUCUGGUACUGUCCCUUGCAGGGUUUGCUUGGGCUUCUCUGCCCCAGUGAGGGACAGACUGCAGCCUUCCUGGGUCAUUUCCGUAACGAUGUUAUUUAAACGUCCAGAAAAGACGAGGUUUCUCGGGGGACUUGCUCUUGGUCGAGGCUGGUCUUAUUUUUGUGCCAUGUGAAUUAAAUGAUGUGGGAGUGGGGGCCGGGCUGCAGUGCUGGAGCUUGACAGCAGAGGGGCCCAGCGGGCCAGAUUGUGUUGGGGAGUGUGAAAUCCGAGGGGUUUUGUGUAAAAUGAGCAGACUUGUUACUGCAGUGCCUGUUCCCCAGAUCCCCCUCAUCCCAGGAAGCGGAUGGCCCUCAGGCUGCCGACGCUGAUGCAGCGGUCUCCAAAGGUCCCAAUUAAUUCUUGAUACCAACAUUAAGUGUGGUCAUUGACCUGGUGGUGUUUAGGAAUACUCUUCCUUCUGGAGUCGAUGAUUCAUGGCUGUCCAGGGCUUUGCCCUGUGCUUCCCUGCGCAGCCCUGGCUGCUCUGGGGAGAGAAUGGGGAUUAGCUCAAUCAGUGCUCUGCUCCAGCAUGGCAAUUAGAUGGGUUAUGUUAUUCCUCUGAUCUUCUUUACUGGAAGGGAUCUGCCAGACAGUGCUGUUGGCGAUGUCUGAGGGCCCAGACGGGGUCAGUGCUGUGCAGCUCUGAUGGAACGUUUGCCAGCGUGCGCCAUUUAACAGGGGAAAUUGUUACUGCUGUUGUGAUAGUGGCUUGAGCCUGCGUCUGGAGGAGGGUUCUGGUGCACUAGAUACUGCACGUGAUAGAAAAGACAUGCUGCUACCAAGCGUUUAAGUUCUAGGUGGAUUAAAAUCUGAGCAGAGUCAACCCUCAGCUUCUUCCCUGCCUCUUUCCAAAGCUUGCAGGGACUUCCCAGGGCAGGAGUAUGCUCAUCCCAAAAAUGAGAGAUGGCCAUCUCCCAUGGCUGCCGCCAUUCCUCACUGUACAACAGCAGCUCCUCUUCCAGGUGCUGUGCUAGGCUCCUGUUUUGGUUAUGGGAUGAAUGGGAGAGAAGAGGAGCUGUGGGAUCUUGGGAGUGGGAGCAUUUGUAAGCUUCCAGGCUGGCCAGGGCUCAAUUUCAUCUCUUUGUACCUAUUUCUGCUGUUGUUUUAGGAUCCAGCAGGUGCUCAGGAAACGUUCAUCCCCUUUUCUGGGAGAAAGGCAGGCAGCAAUGGAGUUCGGAGCUGGAAGUAACGUGGUGUUCAGCCAUGUCCUCCCUCCUUCCCAUAGGAAGUGAGGGCACUGCGCAGAGGCAGAUAGGUUUGUUAUGGACCAGGUCCUCACCUACCAAGCCUAGGGUCGGAUUUGAGGGUUAAUGACCAGCCUGGCUGGCUGAGAGGGACGUGCAGCAGAGCUGCUCACUGUGUGCUGGAGCACACAUUGGGUGCUGGUGAAAGAGCAAAGAGCCUGUUCAAAUGACAUGUGCCUCUGGCUUCAGGCUGUGCUUCUCAUUUCCUGUUACAAGUACAGCUCCCAGCUCUGGCAUGGGACAGGAACUGAAACACUGUCUGUGCCUGAAAACAACACCUCUCCAACAAGGUUUACUGGGAGCCUUGGUCUUCCUCUCAGGCUGAGCAGAUGGAGAGUCCACCUCUUCUUCCUGUGGCUUCCUACUGAUAUGAUAAUGGGACAGACUUCUUAUAAAUACGGGUGGGUUUGCUAUGUCUAAAUAUUGCUGCACGCGAGCAAUGCAACUAUCAAGUCUUCUUUGGCAGUGGAGCACUUCCUCCCACAAAGGAUGUUAAAGCGGAGAUGUAAACAACAUGCACGCAGUGAUACAUCCCAUCGCUGUCUGCUCAGAAGGAAGCUCUCUCUGAGGCCCGUCCGUUUUCUGAUAAAGCUUUCUGUAACGGAUGGGUUUGAUCCCAAGACAAGGCAGCUCGCUCGUGACACGUCCCUGCUGUCAUUCCAGAUGGAUUUGUUCUAACCCGGUGGUUCUCGGGCUGUUUCAUCAGGAAAGUCCCUUUUCCCAUCUGGAGGCUGUCUCCUUCCCACCCACGUUCUGCAUGAGGAGAGCAGGAGCGCUGCUCCUGUGACAUCUCCUUGGGGCUAUAGAUCUGCAGACAAGGGUGGCUGUUCUGUUCCUGGCUUUCAUCCACAAAUUCUCCUUUUAAGGGCCCCGAGCAAGCUGGCCAGCUGCUGUCAGGAUAAAAGACUUCCAUUGUGAGCCUGCGCUCAGCCUUGACACCAGGUGAGGAUGUUGCCUUUCCCCAGUGUUCUGGUUUUUAAAGGCUUUGACUUGUGUGACUGUUCAGCGUGAAGCAUCCAUACUAAAAAGCCUCAGUUUAGCAGCACUAAAAUAGGAAGGAUCCUUCCCAGCAGAGUUUCAAGCACACACGGGUGUUGUUUCAAAGUCCAGCGGUGCCCCAUGGGAAUCAGGCUGUUUUAAUGACUGUUCAUUCAGAUCCUCUCUGGCUAGUGCAGAGCACUUGACCUUGAACUUUAAUCCAGACCUUCUUGCUUAAACAUCUUUACAAAUCAAGUAGCCCAACUGCAGUGUCUCAAUAUGUGCACAUAUUAGAUGUACCAGAAUGUAACUCGGUUUUGGGUCAGGUUAGGCAAUUCCUGAAUGUGCUGGUUUGGGCUGGGGUGGAGUUAGUUGUCUUCAUAGUAGCUGAUAGGGGGCUGUAUUUUGGAUCUGUGGUGAAAACAGCAUUACUGAUGGAGAGAUGUUUUCAUUAUUGCUGAGCAGUGCUUACACUGAGUCGAGACAUGGAGUCUGCUCCCCACACCACCCACCAGCGAGUAGGCUGGGGCUACGCGAGGAGUGGGGAGGGGACACAGCCAGACAGCUAAUCCCAGUUGACCCAAGGGAUAUUCCAGACCACAGGACACCCUGCUCAGCAUAUAAAACUGGGUAAAGAAGGAGAAAGGCAUUUGUCCUCUCAAGUCACCAUGACUUGUGAAGGAGAUCUGCUUUCCUGAUGGCUGAACAACGAUCUGUCAAUGGGAAGUGGUGAGUGAAUUCCUUGUGCACAGCUUUUGCUUUUCCUGCUCUAGUGGAAGGUGUCCCUGCCCAUGGCAGGGGGUUGGAACUGGAUGAGCUUUAAGGUCCCUUCCAACCCAAACCAUUCUAUGGUUCUAUGAUUAUCUCAACCCAUGAGAUUUCUCACUUUUACCCUUCUGAUUCACUUCCCCAUCCCACCAGCGGAGACAGUGAGCAGCUGUGUGGUGCUCAGUUGCUGGCUGGGGUUAAACCACAGCCCUGAAGAUGACCCCGGAGAUGCUGGACAAAGCAGAAUGGACAAAAACAAGUUGAAGACUUUGGUGCAGCCUGUGUGAUCAGAAAUGCCACCAGCUCAGCCAUGCAACAUCAUUUACCAUCAGAUGUGGAGGUAUUUUCUUGGCAUGCCAGCUCCAAACACUGCUGUUAGAGCACCCUGCCUGCAAAAUAUCAUGAGCUUCAGAAGAAUUCAUUCAUUACAAAUAUGCUCAGCUCAGCUGUGGUAUUAGCUUCACUUUCUCAGAGUCAGGUUUCAUGGAAUGAAGUGGCAACAUCAGCUAUUUUCAUCAGGUACAUUGCAACCUGAGUGCUUUCAGUCCAUUUGAACCCCAUAGCUAGCAGUUCCCAAAUGCACUGUAACCGUUACUCUCUCGCUGUAGGCUGUGCCAUUCCGAUGCAACCCUUGCUCUGACAGAUCGCUGACAUCUUUCAUUUUUCUCUUCCCAUUCCCUCUCACAACAGCGCCAUGGUCCUGCUGAAUCCGUGAGGCACAUGGUUAAGCAGCACAACAGGGUGAAGGCAAAGGCAGGGGCACUAAGCUGCUGAUGGUGAUACUACUCAUCCUUAAUGGGCUUGGGAAGAAGUCCACAUUUCUUCGGGUCUGGAGUUUGCUUGCCCUCCUGGUUGUAUUUCUAUACCCUCUGUGCCAUUAUGAGCAAUGUGAUCUUAAUUCUCUAUCUCCGUGCAAUGGAGGGAGGAGGAAUAUAGUAAACCCCACAUUAAAAAAAAAAAAUGCUGUUUUUUAACACAGACCAGGGAAAUGGAGUUCCCAAAGAGAACAUGAGAAAAGCAGGAGUGACAGAAUGUGCUUUGGAAGCUGGCCAAGCAGGGCUGUAUAUCCUGGCUGCUAGUCACUUGUUAAAGAUCCCAGGCAUGCUGCAUGCUCCAUGUUACGUGUGUUCUCCUGAGACAGGGGCACCUAGAUGCAGGACACUGACCUGAGCAUUGCCCCCAGCCAUGUAAACAAGCUCUGGGAUCUGUGGAACGUGAGGGAUGUGAAUCAGUGUGCAUCAUUCCAGAGGGGUGAAUGCUUUGGUGACAAACGUGGUGUUUCCAACCCUAAAACUUGAACUAGAAUUAAAGCCAACAUUAGUUAUUGCUCUG
Molecule: long non-coding RNA, 7500 nt
Organism: Pezoporus occidentalis (night parrot)
Lineage: Eukaryota; Metazoa; Chordata; Aves; Psittaciformes; Psittacidae
Exons: 2
Source: RefSeq, a predicted model, not a curated record